Molecule: long non-coding RNA, 469 nt
Organism: Gadus morhua (Atlantic cod)
Lineage: Eukaryota; Metazoa; Chordata; Actinopteri; Gadiformes; Gadidae
Exons: 3
Source: RefSeq, a predicted model, not a curated record
UGCUUUUCUUUCGAAAAACCCGUGCGCAAAAUCAACAGCACGAGGGCAGUGCGUUUUGCACCCGGGUUUGUUUCUAUCAGGACACUAUAAAGGUGACACUCCAGCCACAUGCAAUAUACAAUCCGACGAGACAAGAACACAUUCGCUCAACACAGAGAAGAACUGACCACUACCUGAAAAAAAUGGAUCCCUGCGACUGCGCCAAGACUGGAACCUGCAACUGCGGCACAUCAUGCACCUGCGCAAACUGCUCCUGCACAAAAUGCAAGAAAAGUUGUUGCGAGUGCUGUCCAGUAGGCUGCAACAAGUGCGCCUCCGGGUGCGUGUGCAAAGACAAUGGCUGCGGUACAAAUUGUUGCCAGUGAGGACUGUCUCAAAAGCUUCCGAAUGGGGGGGCUUGUUGGAAGGGACCAAAGUAAUUUGUUAAUUGCUGUACUCUUCCAAAAUAAACUGCAUCUUCUCUACCUGU